Girardinichthys multiradiatus is the source of this 1312-nucleotide long non-coding RNA. RefSeq lists it as uncharacterized. The record is from RefSeq and is a predicted model, not a curated record. NCBI's taxonomy places the organism in Eukaryota, Metazoa, Chordata, Actinopteri, Cyprinodontiformes, Goodeidae. The transcript has 4 exons.
UCUAAAACAUGCGGGACAGUGUGCCCCAAGGACCAAUGUUGAAAAACACAGUCUAAGAGAUUCUGGUUGGGGGCUGGCAAAAACAGAUGAGCGGAGCUGCAUGGGAAAACCGUUGACCAGGUGAAAAUUUCCAGGAUGAAGAUCUGUCAGAGGAGGUUGAUCCUCAGGUGGAAGGCAGUUGUCCAGCAGCUCCUGUUUAACUGCAGAAGCUGUUUCUGGAAAGUUCAUUUUCUCGGCUUGUUCUCUUCAUAGAAGCUCCAUGUCCCCAGGUUCCAAGAAACAAGGAAAUCUGGAGGAUUUUUUCUUUGACCGACAAUGUGGGCAUGCCUAUGUGACUCUCUCCCUCAGAUGACAUCAGUGUUUACUCCAUGUUUACUCCACUCCUGCCUGAGAGAUAUCACACCAGGCUACCACGUGAACACAUGCCUGAUGAGUGGAUUCCACAGCCACACAGCCAGGACUUCCUUUAAGGCUAAUCUAUUUGGCCUUGGAAAACAGUGACUACGUCAUGAGUAAUUUGGCCCCUUGUGUGAAGUAUGGCAAGAGGUUCUGGCUUUCUUCUUUAAAUUCCACUCCCAGACCUUUCUCUGCAGCAAAUCUUCUGACUUCGCUUUUACAAAAUUUCUAGAGUUUCUACCUUGAAAGUGCUGACAUUUUGGGAACUUGAGUCAUGUUGUCCCCUCUCCAGAUUUAGGAUGUAGCUUUGCCUCAGUGAAUGCUUUAUACUGCAGCAAGAUGAGAAACAUGAUAGGAUGUGAGGUGAUUAACGGCUGCUGCACAUUAUGGAGGCCUGUAAUGCCUGAGCCCUGUGUCAAGCAGAUUCAGGGGCUAUUGGGAGGUAAUUACAUGUCAGCCUUACAAACAUUGUGCUUCCUAGGGAUGUUGUCAAACCUUAUUUAGUUUUCCCUUUUAAACUAUCUUAACCCCUGGCUGUAUCCCAAUGGGUGGGGGGUGAGGGCGGAUAUAUGUGGUGGCUGCCAAUGUUCAAUCAUUGAACCUUUUCUUUCCAUACCCUAAAGAUUUUGAUGUGAAUUUUGAAUUUCAGACACCUCUCCUUUCAUGUUAAAUGCCAGUACCAACAAAUAAAUUCCUUUCUGACAUUAUACAGAUGUAACUGAAUCAAAUUGAUUUGUUUUUAGAAAGAAAAAGGCCCAGAAUUCCCUCAUCUCUGUUUCUUUAUCCACAUUUGUCAUUCUCAAUCUAGAGAUACACUGACCAGAGGUUGUGUACAGCUCUGACCUCUCAGUACCAGUUUCAUUCAAUUCAGAUUUUUUUUAAAGAAUUUUGAAUGAAAAUAAAACAAAUUUUUUUU